This 420-nucleotide ribosomal RNA is filed under the name uncultured eukaryote. RNAcentral describes it as "bacterial SSU rRNA". It matches the Rfam family "Eukaryotic small subunit ribosomal RNA", at positions 462 to 880 of the family's 1831-position model. The record is from RNAcentral.
AGGUAGUGACAAGAAAUACCGAUGCGGGACCCUACGGGUGCCGCGUUCGGAAUGAGUACGAUUCGAACCACCUAACGAGGAACGAUCGGAGGGCAAGUCUGGUGCCAGCAGCCGCGGUAAUUCCAGCUCCAAUAGCGUACGUUAAAGUUGCUGCAGUUAAAAAGCUCGUAGUUGAACGUUCGGGGUUCCGCGGGACGGGGCCGCCCCGCGAGGGACGGCGCCGCCCCGGGGCUCGUGAUAUCUCAUCUCGCCGCCCGUCGCGAGGCGGACGGAGGGAUGGAUGAGGUUACCUGGAAAAAAUCGGGGCGAUCUAGGCGGGCGAACCUCGCCAACGAACGAUCGGACAUGGGAUAACGGAAGAGGGCGUCGGCUCGACUUCGUCGGUUCCUCGGGCCGAGGCACGUACGGUGAAUAGGGACG